Herpailurus yagouaroundi (jaguarundi) is the source of this 1749-nucleotide long non-coding RNA. RefSeq lists it as uncharacterized. The record is from RefSeq and is a predicted model, not a curated record. The transcript has 2 exons. NCBI's taxonomy places the organism in Eukaryota, Metazoa, Chordata, Mammalia, Carnivora, Felidae.
GGCUCCCCGCGCACGCCGUCUCCCUGCCCCCAGCUCCGCUCCCGCCGGGAUCUCAGCGCUGAGGCUUCUCCUCUUCCUCCCGCCUCCGCCUCCCUCCUCUCCUUGCGGGUCUCCUCCGUCUUCUCCCCUCCACACUGAUUUGCUUCCCGCUCGUCUUCCCUCUCCAUGCAGCUCCCGCAGCCCCCCCCUGCGCCCGUCGUGGCGCCCACGCGGCGGGCAGCAGCGGGCCGACUGCGCCCGCCUGAGAGGAACACGAGGGAGGACGUCCCCCAGCCGGAGAAGCGCCCACACACCUCGCUCGCUCUGUCUCUCGCUCUGUCUCUGCCCAGAGCCCGGUUUGAAGGAGACACAGUGCGAUGGCUCCACCUGAGGGGCUCAGCCGCCAAGCCAGUCCCCCCCGCACCAGGGCUGGACACCAGCGCGGGGGGACCGAACCCACACCUGUCGUUUGAGAACUGCCGCGUGCCUGCUGCUUUACAGGCUCAGCACGUUCUUAUGCAAAGUGGAAGCCACUGGUGGUCACAGAGAUUGACUGUUUACUUUUCAAGAGUGGGCUGUGCUCCUUUCCCAAGGAGGGCAAGGACAUAACUUACAAAAGGAAAAAUACGGGAGAACCCCCUCCUCUCACAGCUACGUUUCUGUGGCGUGAGUUCUCUUAAGGCACAGAGCUACUUUUCAGCAUGUCACAGAGAGCGAACAUGGAAGCAUGGCGUUUACGGCUUUCCCCCAAAAGUGAUCUGUGCCUGGAUCCCGAGCAGACCUGAGCUUUAUAGGGCGUCAUAGGCUGUUGCUUUUCUAAAUGUCACGGACAUAAAACGAACUUUAUGGAAGCACCGAGUUCUCAUGAGUACUGAUUCUGCGACCAGGCCCGGCAGCACAGGGAUGGGGGAGGAAUUGUCCGGAUCCUGGAAUAAUCACGGGGCUGCACAGCCUCGCUCUGGGCUUCUGUGUCCUACUUAUUUACAGACUCGUCAUCCGUUCUGCGGAUUGGGCCAGCGAGUUGCUCUGUUGACAGCCAAAGGCACUCAUGGGAAGACUUAAACAACCAAGUGUGACAGCACACGUGGGGUCAGUCCGUCUACCAUGAAAGUAGGACCCGUGUCUGCCUCAGGUGUGAGUCUUUGGAUGGAUCUAUUUGUUACUGGAGGUGGUGGGGAGGAUGGUGUUUGAGGGUUUUGUGGUUGCUGCUGUCCGUGUUGUUGAACUCUUUCUAGGAAAUCAUUGUGGAGCGAUAGCUUUGUGUUAGUUCCUGGAAGGACAUGACUAAGGAUACUUGCCGAGGGUUAGUUGCAGAUCUCGGUGCCACAUUUGGGGAAGGACUUCCACGCUUUGCAGUUAAAGAUGCUCCCUUAAAGGAAACCCACUUUAUUCACACCUUUGGGUCGAUGUUAGAGAGCAAUAUGUUGAAAUUGGUCUGCAGCCCACUUGCAUCAGAAUCACCUGGGUUUGAUGUAAGAAAUGCAGAUUCUGGGGCCUCACACCAACUACAUCUCUUGGGGUUAGAGCCCAGGUGGUAGCUUCUGUGACCUCCAUUGCUGACUCUAAGGCUUUCCCAACCUAAGAACCACUCUCUUUUACUUUUAGAUUGGGGAUUCUUACACAGUGAUCAAAGAAGCCCAAUUUUUUCCUUUACUCCGAAGACUUUAAACACUGGACCGUGACCUCCUUAGGGACAGUGUGACUUUGCUCCUCUCGCACACUCAGCCUAGAGACGGUGCCCAGAUCAGAAAUAAAGCAGGUGAAGAAAAA